UAGAAUUUCUGGAUCAAUUUGGAAACUAAGACUAGAAAAGAUCUGUGUUUCGUCAUCUGGAACCCAGGGAGAGGGUGAGGCACGUGGAGUUCCUUGACCCCUCAUCUUGCUGAAGCAGCAAGCAUGGGCUAUUUAGAGCCUGUCUGCUUUGCACAUCCCAUGAGAGUGCAGUCAACAUCUGCUAGCCAUAGAUAAGACAAACUCUGUGGUUAUAAAAGACCCAAACUUCUGCUGUUCUAAGAGCUCCAUGACCCGGAGACGCCCCACCUCACUGCUGAGCAACAUCUUCCCUGCCCAAGUGCCACUCAAUAAAGCUUGUUGUACAAUACUGUCA
This 334-nucleotide long non-coding RNA is filed under the name Homo sapiens (human). RNAcentral's name for it is "non-protein coding lnc-ADCY2-3:2". The record is from RNAcentral. Lineage: Eukaryota; Metazoa; Chordata; Mammalia; Primates; Hominidae.